RNAcentral lists this small nuclear RNA (211 nucleotides) under Crocodylus porosus (Australian saltwater crocodile). RNAcentral describes it as "U2 spliceosomal RNA (ENSCPRG00005018792.1)". It matches the Rfam family "U2 spliceosomal RNA". Rfam says of the family: U2 is a small nuclear RNA (snRNA) component of the spliceosome (involved in pre-mRNA splicing). Complementary binding between U2 snRNA (in an area lying towards the 5' end but 3' to hairpin I) and the branchpoint sequence (BPS) of the intron results the bulging out of an unpaired adenosine, on the BPS, which initiates a nucleophilic attack at the intronic 5' splice site, thus starting the first of two transesterification reactions that mediate splicing. The record is from Rfam by way of RNAcentral. Lineage: Eukaryota; Metazoa; Chordata; Crocodylia; Crocodylidae.
ACCCCUCUGCUCGCCUCCUGUUUGGCUGUAGCAAAUUUUUCUUGUGGCAGAGACAUGCUCAUGUGGGGCUUUUGGCCUGCUGAUAUGUCCUCCAUAGGAGGUCUAUAUUGAGCAGAUUCUUUUUGGUAUUGGUAGGUGGAACCGGAGCGUGCUCCAUCCACUCCAUGCAUUGACCUGGGAUUGCAGUGCUUCCAGGACCGGUGCAAAAAAA